RNAcentral lists this ribosomal RNA (1864 nucleotides) under human gut metagenome. Its description in RNAcentral is "bacterial LSU rRNA". It matches the Rfam family "Bacterial large subunit ribosomal RNA", at positions 466 to 2420 of the family's 2925-position model. The record is from RNAcentral.
CUAAAUACUACCCAGUGACCGAUAGCGUAUAGUACUGUGAAGGAAAGGUGAAAAGCACCCCGGGAGGGGAGUGAAAAAGAACCUGAAACCCUGUGCCUACAAGCACCUAGAGCACGUCAAUGUGUGAUAGGGUACUUUUUGUAGAACGGUCCGGCGAGCGAUUGUAUGCAGCAAGGUUAAGGACUUAAGGUCUGGAGCCGAAGCGAAAGCGAGUUUGAAAAGGGCGUUAAGUUGCAUAUAAUGGGCCCGAAACCGGGUGACCUACCCAUGGUCAGGUUGAAGUGGAAGUAAAAUUCCAUGGAGGACCGAACCGACCUCCGUUGAAAAGGCGGCGGAUGAACUGUGGGUAGCGGAGAAAUUCCAAUCGAACCCGGAGAUAGCUGGUUCUCCCCGAAAUAGUUUUAGGACUAGCCUCAAGUUAGAUACCUGGAGGUAAAGCACUGAAUAGCCUAGCGGCCGAGAGGUUAGCGAAGCUUAUCAAACUCAGAAUGCCAGAGUAUUGAUGCUUGGGAGUCAGACAGUGUCAGAUAAAUGUCAUUGUCAAAAGGGAAACAGCCCAGAUCUACAGCUAAGGUCCCAAAGUCAGGUUAAGUGGAAAACGAUGUGAAGAUACGCAGACAACCAGGAUGUUGGCUCAGAAGCAGCCACUCAUUCAAAGAGUGCGUAAUAGCUCACUGGUCGAGCGUCUUUGCGCGGAGAAUUUAACGGGGCUAAACCUGACACCGAAGCUUAGGCAAUGUACUUUGUACAUUGGGUAGGGGAGCGUUGUAUACGCGGUGAAACAGUAGCGCAAGCGGCUGUGGAGUGUAUAGAAGUGAGAAUGCCGGAAUGAGUAGCGCGAAUGCAGUGAGAAUCUGCAUGGCCGAAAGCCUCAGGUUUCUGGAGGAAGGUUCGUCCGCUCCAGGUUAGUCGGGAGCUAAGGUGAGGCCGAAAGGCGUAGCCGAUGCACAGACGGUAGAGAUUCCGUCACCACCAAAAGAGUUAAGCACAGGGACACAUAAGAAGUCUCAGAGCCGGGUGUUGGUUCCGGUAGAGAUCGAGGGAAAAUAGUACCGAAGUCUGGGAUGGAAGAUGGCGAGAAAAGCUGUGUGGAUUUCUAAGGUGCCCGUACCGCAAACCGACACAGGUAGGUAGGAAGAAGAUUCUAAGGCCAACGGGAGAAGGGUUGUUAAGGAACUCGGCAAAUUGACCCCGUAACUUCGGGAGAAGGGGUGCUCCAGAGAUGGAGCCGCAGAGAAUCGGCCCAAGCAACUGUUUACCAAAAACACAGGUUUGUGCUAAAUCGAAAGAUGACGUAUACGAGCUGACGCCUGCCCGGUGCUGGAAGGUUAAGAGGAGAUGUGCAAGCAUUGAAUCGAAGCCCCAGUGAACGGCGGCCGUAACUAUAACGGUCCUAAGGUAGCGAAAUUCCUUGUCAGGUAAGUUCUGACCCGCACGAAAGGCGUAAUGAUUUGGGCACUGUCUCAACAGCCCGCCCGGCGAAAUUGUAGUACUGGUGAAGAUGCCAGUUACCCGCAACUAGACGGAAAGACCCCAUGGAGCUUUACUGCAGCUUAAUACUGGAAUUCGGUAAAUCAUGUACAGGAUAGGUGGGAGACAGGGAAGCAUUGGCGUCAGCCAGUGUGGAGUCGCUGGUGGGAUACCACUCUUGAUUUGCUGGGUUUCUAACCUGCGGCCGUGAAUCCGGUCGGGGGACACUGUUAGGCGGGCAGUUUGACUGGGGCGGUCGCCUCCUAAAGAGUAACGGAGGCGCUCAAAGGUUGGCUCAGCACGGACGGAAAUCGUGCAGUGAGUGUAAACGUAGAAGCCAGCCUAACUGCGAGACCGACGGGUCGAGCAGUAACGAAAGUUGGAGUUAGUGAUC